GCUUACGGCCAUACCACCGUUAGGCACGCCCGAUCUCGUCUGAUCUCGGAAGCUAAGCAGGGUCGGGCCUGGUUAGUACUUGGAUGGGUGACCGCCUGGGAAUACCAGGUGCUGUAAGCA
This 120-nucleotide ribosomal RNA is filed under the name Gadus morhua (Atlantic cod). The record is from RNAcentral. Lineage: Eukaryota; Metazoa; Chordata; Actinopteri; Gadiformes; Gadidae.